CCUACGGGUGGCAGCAGUGGGGAAUAUUGCACAAUGGGGGAAACCCUGAUGCAGCGACGCCGCGUGAGUGAAGAAGUAUUUCGGUACGUAAAGCUCUAUCAGCAGGGAAGAAAAUGACGGUACCUGACUAAGAAGCCCCGGCUCACUACGUGACAGCUGCCGCGGUAAUACGUAGGGGGCAAGCGUUAUCCGGAUUUACUGGGUGUAAAGGGAGCGUAGACGGCAGCGCAAGGCUGGAGUGAAAUCCCAUGGCUUAACCAUGGAACUGCUUUGGAAACUGUGCAGCUAGAGUGCAGGAGAGGUAAGCGGAAUUCCUAGUGUAGCGGUGAAAUGCGUAGAUAUUAGGAGGAACACCAGUGGCGAAGGCGGCGUACUGGACUGUAACUGACGUUGAGGCUCGAAAGCGUGGGGAUCAAACAGGAUUAGAUACCCUGGUAGUC
This 440-nucleotide ribosomal RNA is filed under the name uncultured bacterium. RNAcentral's name for it is "partial 16S ribosomal RNA". It matches the Rfam family "Bacterial small subunit ribosomal RNA", at positions 338 to 795 of the family's 1533-position model. The record is from RNAcentral.